UCGCCGCACUCGAUUGGUAAAGUCCGGACGUGGGGAUCGCCUGGUCUAAGCUCGGUGCCCGCUGGCUGCAGCUUGGGUCGCUCAAAGUUGAGUUCCCUGUCGUGGAAGGAGCUGUCGAGAAUACACUUUCUUUGUCUGGUGUUUCCCCUCGGUUUAAUGUGCUUCCUGUAAAUCCCUCCACUGCGUCUGAUGUCGCAUCUUUCAAAGAAAUGGGUGCGGUGAUUGGACUCUGAGGCUCCUCACACAUCGUGGCCUCGGAACUAGGAUGUGUUCUCAUCCUGGGCCUGGUCAUCCAAGUCAUCCUGAAUUGAGCAGCCUCCCAAUCCAGAAAAACCUUGAACACCACUAGUGAAUGCACAGGAAAGAAGCCACAACAUGCCUGGCAGUUGAAGAUCAGCAACCCAUUACCCCAGCUCCCCUUUGGCCCUGGAGCAGCCCAGGCUCCUUGGAGGGGAUGUCAUCCACUCCUGGCCACUGGGCCUGGACCUACCCAAGCCACUCCUGA
This 505-nucleotide long non-coding RNA is filed under the name Dasypus novemcinctus (nine-banded armadillo). Its description in RNAcentral is "lncRNA (ENSDNOG00000049926.1)". The record is from RNAcentral. Lineage: Eukaryota; Metazoa; Chordata; Mammalia; Cingulata; Dasypodidae.